AAGAAUCUGCACUUGAAUUGAAAGGCAAUGGGGAGCUCCUGAGAAUAGACUCAGAGGGAGAGUGGUAUUUAUCAAAGCCGUGCUUAAGGAAGAUGUACGGGACAGAAGAAUUUAGGAUGGACAGUGUGAGGACCCAGGUGCUCCCGUUUCCUCCUCGGUGGGAAAGCAGGUGAUAAUAAAACUUAUCACCCACUCAUCUCAGGGGAGUGCUGCGGAGAGCAACCAAUAUACAUACAGAAAUAAGUGUAAGGCACUCGGCGAGAACAAAGUGUGCUAGAAAUGCUAAACAAUAAUAAAUUCAGCCACCUCCUUCCCCACGAUAGUAAACAAUGUGUCUUUUUUUAAAAGCAGAUGUGGUUAACCAGAUGCUAACUUUGAGGCUGUCUAUAUAACCUCUAACAACAGGUGAUUAAACCUAAACUCUUGAUUUUCAAGCAUUCCUUCAUUAGAGAGUCUCCGAGUGACCCUGAUACCUCCAUCAAACCACGGCCUGGACUAGAAAGCAAUUAAUCAACAUGAAAAUUACUUUAUCAACCCGCCUCCAAUUCUUAGUAUCAAUGUGUGACUAAUAUCAGCAUCCAAACUACAGGCAGUCCCCACCCUCUCCCUAAGCUGUA
This 617-nucleotide long non-coding RNA is filed under the name Equus asinus (donkey). Its description in RNAcentral is "lncRNA (ENSEASG00005031488.1)". Lineage: Eukaryota; Metazoa; Chordata; Mammalia; Perissodactyla; Equidae. The record is from RNAcentral.